Molecule: ribosomal RNA, 447 nt
Filed under: uncultured bacterium
Lineage: Bacteria
Description: bacterial SSU rRNA
Rfam family: Bacterial small subunit ribosomal RNA
Source: RNAcentral
UGCCAGACUCCUACGGGAGGCAGCAGUGGGGAAUAUUGCACAAUGGGGGGAACCCUGAUGCAGCGACGCCGCGUGAAGGAAGAAGUAUCUCGGUAUGUAAACUUCUAUCAGCAGGGAAGAAAGAGGACGGUACCUGACUAAGAAGCCCCGGCUAACUACGUGCCAGCAGCCGCGGUAAUACGUAGGGGGCGAGCGUUAUCCGGAUUUACUGGGUGUAAAGGGAGCGUAGACGGCCAUGCAAGCUCGGUGUGAAAGGUGCGGGCACAACCCGCAGACUGCACUGAGAACUGUAUGGCUGGAGUGCCGGAGGGGCAGGCGGAAUUCCUGGUGUAGCGGUGAAAUGCUUAGAUAUCACGAAGAACCCCGAUUGCGAAGGCAGCCUGCCGCAGCGUUACUGACGCUGAAGCUCGAAAGCGCGGGUAUCGAACAGGAUUAGAUACCCUGGUA